Molecule: small RNA, 530 nt
Filed under: Pongo abelii (Sumatran orangutan)
Lineage: Eukaryota; Metazoa; Chordata; Mammalia; Primates; Hominidae
Description: retained intron
Source: RNAcentral
AAGGCUUCACCAAGAGUCUUAAUGCCUUCAACGUAGGCGAUGACUGCCCAGUGUUUCCCGGGCUCUUUGAGUUCUGCUCGCGUUACACAGGCGCAUCUCUGCAAGGAGCAACCCAGCUGAACAACAAGGUGACAUAGUCCCGAGUCCUGUUCCUCCUUUCCUCUGGCUCCCUGGACUCGGGAUUUAACCCUGAUCCUGGGCUCCCAGCUUGAGGGGUGGGCAGGAAGGACUGUGACUUGGGUGUUUGUCUUUCAGAUCUGUGAUAUUGCCAUUAACUGGGCUGGUGGUCUGCACCAUGCCAAGAAGUUUGAGGUGAGUGAGGAGGUGAUGGGAAAGACAGUGGCCAUCCUCGGGUAGGUGUUGAGGAUGAUGGUGGGGGGCAGCUGGGUAGGGGAAUUGCUCUUCUCUUUAUGAGACCACUGUCUUGCCAUAGGCCUCUGGCUUCUGCUAUGUCAACGACAUUGUGAUUGGCAUCCUGGAGCUGCUCAAGUACCACCCUCGGGUGCUCUACAUUGACAUUGACAUCCACC